AAUACAAUUUCAAAAAAAAAAAAAAAACACAAAAUCCACCUCUGCUUUCUCUCUCCGUUCCUCUCCGUUCCUCACAAACCCUAAUUCUUCACUUCACUUAAUUGAUGACAAUGUUCUGAAUUAGUUUAGUUCGCGAUAUGAUUUGAAGUCUUCGAGCUUCGUUUUUGCGCAGGAAGAGUUAUCAAUUUUUUCUGGAUUUGAAUUGGAAAAAUUUCAUUUCCCGCGACACUGAUUUCAAUUCAUUUUCUGAAGCACCGCGCAGUUUCCUUUCCCUAAUCAUGGGUUUUGACAAUGACUGCAUCUUAAAUAUUCAAUCGCUUGCUGGAGAAUACUUCUGUCCUGUUUGUCAUCUUCUUGUCUAUCCAAAUGAGGCUUUGCAGGCACAAUGCACUCAUUUAUACUGUAAGCCAUGUCUGACUUAUGUUGUUAGCACAACACAUGCUUGUCCUUAUGAUGGGUACCGGGUGAUGGAAUCAGAUUGCAAGCCACUGUCGGAGUCCAAUAAAGCACUGGCAGAUACAAUAGGGAAAAUUCAAGUUCAUUGCCUGUAUUAUAGGACUGGAUGUACAUGGCAAGGUGCUUUAUGUGACUGCAUAUCUCAUUGUUCCUCGUGUUCAUUUGGAGAGUCUCCAGUUCUAUGCAACAGAUGCGGAAUUCAGAUUGUGCAUCGCCAGGUGCAGGAACAUGCGCAAAACUGUCCUGGUGCACAAUCUCAGGCGCAACAGUCAGGCACUGCACAGGAUAAUACAUCCACUGGAGUUGGAGCUGGAGCUUCAGCAAAUCAAAGCCAGACGACGACUCAGACAGGAACUCUGGUUUCUCAAGCUCAGACAACUCAAACUACUGCUCCUGCUGUAUCUGGUCAAGAUUCUAACCACGGAGGCAAUUCUACUGUGCAACCACAAGCAGCACAAGCUGCAAUGCCCACUGCAGAACAGUGGCAACAAUACCAGCAGCAAUACCAACAGUACUAUCAGCAGUAUCCUGGAUAUGAUCCUUACCAACAGCAAUAUCAAUAUUACUAUCAGUAUCAGCAAGGUGCUCAACAGUAUCCACAACAGGCUGUGCAAGGUUAUCCUCCUCAGGCUUAUGGGCAAGCCCAACCACAGGUUUAUGGUCAAACUCAGACUCAACCCCAACUCCAGACUCAACAGCAGGUCCAGCCUCAUGCUCAGCCCCAGCCUCUUACACAUCCCCAACCACAACCGCAACCUCAAGCUUCAGCCCAAACUGCACUAACAGCUGUCAAUGCACCACCACAAGUUCAGCCAUCGGUUCAUGUACAGCCUAAAAUGCAAACUCAAGUUCAAGCACCUCCAUCUCAAGCACUUUCAUAUAACCAGUCUCAGCCAUUAACCCAAUCUCAGCCCUAUUCUCAGUCGCAGCCUGUUUCUCAACAGCAGUUGCAGCCACCUCAGUAUCAGCAAACUCAUACUCAGAUGCAGCAUCUUAAUGCCCAACCUUAUCCACCUUCGCAAGCCCAAACGCAAACCCAGCAUUACCCCUAUCCACAUCCACAAUCUCAGGUACAAGCACAACCUCAUUUGCAACAGAAUUUACAGGCGUCUGCUCAUCCUCCGGCUCAACAAAAUCAGCCUAUGAAUCCUAGUGCCCAACUUCAGACGCAGAAUGCUGUAACUGGUUACCAAUCAUAUCCCCAGCCACAGCCUCAACCUCAAAUGCAGGUGGGAGCUGCACGUCCAACGCAAAUUCCUGGUGCCCAGCCUCAGUACCCAGUGCAAAUGCAGGGGAAUUUCCCUCAAGCUUCUCAGAUGUAUCCUGCUCAAGCCUAUCCUAACAUUACAAGUCAACAGCCAGCUCUGUCAUCUGCACAAGUUCAACCUCCAAGCAGGCCUCCAGCACAGCAGCUGCCUGUUCAGCCUCAUCCGCAGCAGCCUGGAUAUCCGGUUCAGCAGCGUCCUGGUGUGCAGGCUACACAACAGCAGUAUGGACAGCAGCAAGCUUUUCAUGGACAUGUUUUUGCACAGCCACAACCACAUCCACAGCCACAUCCACCUAUGACAGCUCAAGCACAUGCCCAAGGUCCUCCUCAACUGACGCAGCCACCUCAGCAGAAUUAUGGACUAGGGUAUGGUGUUCAACCUAAUGCUACUCAAAGUUAUGCCGCCCGACCAGCCACUCAAGGAACGGGUAACCAAACAUAUGCUCCUGCUGUUGGACUUACUGGUUUGGGUCAGGUUAGGCCCUCCCCUGUAAAUCAGGCUAAUUCAAUGAGAAUGAACAAUCAGCUUCUUUCUGAACAGCAGACUGGUCAAUCCCAACAACCUUUAAGAGCUACAGGUGGUGAAAAGACUCAUGAUCAGAUGUUGGAUAGUAGCAUUUAUGAUCAAAAUAAUCCGAACAAGGAGGCUAGAGAUUUAGCUGGGUUUAAAAAGGAUGAAACUAAAAUAAAAUCAGAAAGUGCUUUAGAUGGUGGUGCUGAUGGAAACAACAGGACAACACCAGUUACAGAGCCUAAGGUCUCGGAAAAUGAUAUUCAGGAUAGCAAAUCAAGGAUCAAGGCAGAUGGAUUUGAGGGUGUAUCAAAGCCGUCACCUGGUGCAAAUUCGACCAAAAAUGGUGCUCAGGAUCUUAAAGAUGUCGGGAAGAAGGCUGAGGUGCAGGACUUAAAGCAUAGAACUAACACUGGAGCUAGUGCAGCUGCACCAGCUUCUAAUUCUGGUACAAAUUCAUUUCCUUCUGCUGGUCAGGGAAGAAAUCAGCUUCAAGUAAUGCAGUAUGGGCCUUCAGCACACCUCGGACCUGGUGGUGCAUCUAUGCCACAAUCCACGCUUCAUCCUUAUAACACCCAGAAGCCAACAGCGGGACAUCAUCUUAAUCAAUUGAGACCACAAGGACCUGGACAAGCUCCUCCAAGACCACCUUUCAAUGCACCUGAGAACUCCCAGCCCCCUCUUCAUGAGCAACCCCUUGGUCCUUUGCCUCAGGAAAAUGCAUCUGGGGCUAUGUCAAUCCCUGGCUCAUCAGCAUCUUAUGCUAGAACUGGAAAUAUGGGCUAUCGUCAAGGUAAUAUGCCUCCUUAUCAAGGUGGCCAAUUGCAGAAUCCUCCUGGCGAACCUUUUGUUGGACCCUCAUUUGCUGCUCAAAGGCAUGGUGCACUUGACUUUCAUGUUGGUGCAAAGGGGAGAGAACAAGCUGAUGUCGAGCGCCGUCCUCCAUUUCCAAUGGAAAAUGAAACAUUUCCUCAGAGGCCUGGUUAUUUUGAUGCUAGAAAACCAGAGCCACUUCCUCAUGGAUCCACGGAGAGAGCUCCGUAUGGGUCACUUCAUCCUGGUUCUCAGCCUGGGGCUGUGAAGUUUGGUGAUGCUUCACCUCAUGAUUCUAUGUCUGCACCUGGGAUGAGAGAUGGAAGGGUGAAUCGAUUCCAUGAAGAGCAUUUGCAACACUUUCCUCAUAGGGACUUUGAACACGAUUCGAGGAAAUUUCCAAGACCAUCUCAUUUUGAAGCCGGACCAUCAUCAAAAUAUGGGACUCAAUUUCCAACAUCCGGGGCACUUGAUCAUGGUCCUCACGUAUUUGACAAAGGACCACAUGGAUUUGACCGUAAUUCUGGAUUGAAAAAAGAUUCUCUUGCUGGUUCUGGCCCUUCAAGAUUGUUUCCUCCAAAUCUUAAUCAUGCUAUUGAAAAGGGCCAAGCUACUAGUUUUCCUGAUGAUAGCAGGAGGAGAGGAGAUUUUGGACACCAUCCUGAAUUUCCUGGUUCAGCAACUGGUCCUGUUUUUGGUCGAUCCCGCAUGGAUAGUGUGCCACCUGGAAGUCCUGGUAGGGAAUUUCCUGGGUUUCCUUCUCGAUCAUUCGGAACCUAUGGGGAUGUAGGUGGAAAUAAUUUUCCUAACGAACCAUUUGGGAAAUCAUUACAUGAUAACAGGUUUCCAGUUCCUCCCAAUCACUUGCUUAGGGGUGAACGUGAUUUUGCUGGUAAUUUGCGUGCAGGUGAGCAUUUGGCCAGCGGUCCUCAUAAUCCAGAUAUGCUCCCUUUACAUUUACAAAGGGAUCAUAUGGGUCCUCGGAAUUUGCAUAUGGGGGAUGUAAAAACAUUUGGUUCAUCUGGUGGCCAUCCACGGAUGGGAGAAUCUCCCCUAGCAGAAAAGUUUCACCAACACCUGCCUUUUGGAGAAUCCUUUGGAGGUGAGAAACCCGGGCGCCCUCUGAUGGGUGAACUUGAAUUUAAGGGUGCCUCUGGUUUUCAGCGUUAUGCAUGUGAAGGUGGUUUUUACCCUGAGGAGAGGGAACCUUUUGAUAAUCCAAGAAAGUGGAUGGCUGGAAGCAUUAUGUGCCGCAUUUGUAAGGUUGAAUGUGGAACUGUGGAAGGUUUGGACCUGCAUUCGCAAUCAAGAGAACACCAGAGAAAGGCUAGGGAUAUAGUCUUAAACAUCAAACAGCAGAAUAAGAAACAGAAGAUGUUGAAAGACCCAGCUUCAAUUCAAGGAAGAGAUGGGGGGAGGCCCAAGAAGGCUGGCUUUCAGGGUCGUGGAAACAAGCGUUAAAUGGCGUGAUGGUUGUUUUGGCUGACAAACAAUCGAGUGAUUUUGUAGCUGACAGUCUGCAUUUUUUCCUUCAGUAUUUUGCAUUUAGUGAAUAGGUGAUGCAGCUUUCCGUGUCUCUUUCUUUUGCUGGUUGGUUUAUGCCAGUUUUGUUAUUUCAGGUUGCUGAUAUGUUAGUGGAGAUGGUAUUUUGGGAGUAUGUGGACUGAAGUUUCAGUGACAAUGUUUUCAAAGUGAACCUGUCUUUUUCGGCGAUGCUGACAAGGAAAAGGCUGAAAAGCAGAAAAGUUUUACCUUGCAGUCUUCUUAGAGUGUGGUGUUAAAAAACUGAAACCCAGCACUUCUUUUGGAGAGGAGCUUGGUUUCUUGAUCUCGAGUACCUUACGUUUUGCUUCUAUUGAGCCUUGGUCUUGCUUUGAAUUUGCUGGUAAUUUUUUUUUUCUCUACUUUGGUAGAUGUGUGCUUAUUGCUAAUUGUAUAUGACUUGGGCUGACCAAGUAAUUUAAGUUCUAUUCAAUCCCAAAAAAGUAAAUAAUAGAGAUAAAAAAAAAUCAAGUUUUAUAUUACUUGGUUGUUCCUAUUUAAUUAUUUACGUGGCAUUUCAAUCUCUGCUAGUAAUUGCAUCAUAUAUUAAUGAAUAGAGAAUACCAUAUUUUGGUUCCCCGUCAAGAAAUAUUUCCCAGACGUUUAAGCCCUAGGAUACAGCUUGCCAAAAAAGUAAAUAAUAGAGAUAAAAAAAAAGCAGAAUUAUUAUUUUUGAUUUCGGGUGAGGACAAUUCCCUACAUGUAAGAGGGAUAGGAUAUCAUACGGGUGGAAGUGAAAGGCUUCAAUCAUUAGACCAAACUAUGAUUUUCUGGUGAUUUAUUUUCCAAACAGACUUGAGCACAAUUUAGGCUGAAGAAAUACCUUUUGUUGCAAUGUAAUACGAUCGUAGUAAAACAUAUUUUAUCAUGAAGCUUUAAUUGCAAUAAGUUAAGUUUAAGUUAAGUUCUAGUGAGGUUUAGAGAGAUAAAGUGAAUUGAGUGAUUGUGAGAGUUUUUAUCUAGGGAGGGGCAAAGUUGGAUAAAAAACGAAGAUAGUGGUUACACAAUGAAAAGAAAGGGUGGUAACAAAUGUGCAACUGGAGCCAAAUUAGACAUAAUUGGCAGUUAGCAAGCUUGUUCUGUAAUUUGAUUGUGAUUUGUGAAUAACCUCUUAGGUGUACCUUGCCUUUGAUACUUUGUUAGUGAUGAGGCGACCUUCUAAGAUAGAUUUAUUCUUGGUUUGUUGCAUUAAUAUUUUGAGAGUAUAUAUGCUCUUUUGUAUUGAAUUAUUUGAAUGAGGAUUAUAUAUGUUUUUGAAAUGCACUUGUGUGAAAGAUUUUUUCCCCCUUUAGUUAUAUAUAAUAUAUUCUUGGAUUCUUGCGAUAUUGCUGUGACAUUUAAUGCUGAGUAUUUAUCUCAUUCUUCAUCCUCAAUGGGUCUAAAGGUAUACAAAUUUUUAAUUUCAGAUUAUACUGAAAUAUGUUAAAUUUGACCAACUAAAACACCUGUACCUAUAUUUGUAUGAAGUUGUGGAUGAUUUUUGGUACAAAGUGUUAAUUGGAAUCCGAAAGUAAUCAUUUUGUUAUCAAUUACAAAGGUAAUAUUGCAUAAUCGACCCUAAAAUCUAUCUAAAGGAAAGACUGGGCAAUGGGCAUUUUAUGAUAUUAGUAAUGAAAUUUUUAAGAGUUGACGAGUCUAGAAGUGUACCUACAAUUGGAAAUACAAGGUGUUCCGCGAUUUGAUAAGCUGGUAAGCCUCAGGUAUAUUGCACCUAAGUUUUUAGAAGACUUGUGAUGUAGAACCUAUUUUCUGUUUUCAAAAUGUUUUCCCAAUGUAUAUUGCACAAAGAUUAGAAAUAGUAGAACUAUUUGAAUUGUAUGGAUGAUAUUACAAGAUAGGUAUAAUAUAUGGAUGAAUGAAAUAUUUUCACAAAAAGAAAAUUUUAGUUAAGUGAAAGAUAGAAACUAAGUAUAACAAUUUGUUACAAACCAAAGGAGUAGAUUAAAUAUCCAUUAUGGUUAGUGAUUUGGCUGUAUAUUUUUAUUCUUUGUAAUUGAAACCAUAUAGGUGAUAAUGACGGACAAUUACCGAUAGCCAAGGUCACUUUCGGGUGUGAGAAUAUAUUGGUCAAUUACCGAUAGGAUGUGUAUGCCUUAUAGUUUUUGUUGGUGAUACUCCUCUGUUCUAAAAAAGUUUGCUUUUAAGCCGUCUUAAUUUUUCUGAUUUAUAUUUUUGGCUAUGAUCUAUCCUACUCCCUCCAAUUCUUUUCAAUUGUCUCAUUUUCUUAUUUGGGUAAUUCAUUUUAAUUAUCCUAUUUUUAUUUUAGAAUGUAAUUUUUGAACCAAAUUGUCCUUAUACCAUUCAUGUAAUUACUAAAACACCCUUAUUUUUUUUACUAAAAUACACUAUUUAGCCCCCCAAUAUCCACUAUAUCACAUGGGUAUACUAUUCAAAGAGGUCCCUCUACUUUCUUAAUUUUCGUGCCCAAUCCAAAUGGGACAAUCGAAAAGAAUUGGAGGGAGUAUUUCUUUAUUUGUCAUUCACAUAUGUGACAUAAUUUUUUAAUUUAUCUACAUAUUCACUUUACUUUUAUCUCGUUCAUAUAUUUUUCAUUCUUCGUAAAGUAAAUAAAACAAAUAUUGCUUAUUUGGCCGAUCUUAGGUUUUUAGGGGUUCAUAUAUUUUUCAUUUUUCGUAAAGUAAAUAAAACAAAUAUUGCUUAUUUGGCUGAUUCUAGGUUUUUAGGAGCUCGGGGCGAAAGAUUAGUUUUGGCCUCCUAAAUUAUUGUAUAUAUAGAAAAGUUCGAACCUUAACAUUAGUUGAAAACUAAAAUUUUUUGAGGGCUCUGAACGUAGGGACGAUUUGCACUUGCUAGGGUAGAUCUUGCUGUUUUAACACUUACAUAUUUUUUUUCUUAUUUCAUUUGUACUUGAAAUUAUUUUUUUGACAUUAGAGUAAUGCAAUAACAUAGUAACGACUAAGGUAACACAAAAAAGGUCAAGUUGUCAAAGAUUUGAUUAUUUUUAUAAAUAUGUAUGAGGGCAGUCGUUUUUACGUUAUUACUUUUGGAGCAUAAAAAUUAGAAAGAAAAAUUAUCAUGAAUAAUACAAUGUUUUGUUAGUUUUUUGUAAUAAUAUAACUUUUGAUUAACCAUGAAUAACACUAAUUUAGGGGAUUUUUUCCUAAAAUAAUGCCAAUUUUAUUUUAUUAG
This is an RNA transcript of Amaranthus tricolor (Joseph's coat), 7739 nucleotides long. RefSeq lists it as uncharacterized. The transcript is spliced from 8 exons. NCBI's taxonomy places the organism in Eukaryota, Viridiplantae, Streptophyta, Magnoliopsida, Caryophyllales, Amaranthaceae. The record is from RefSeq and is a predicted model, not a curated record.